Molecule: long non-coding RNA, 583 nt
Filed under: Homo sapiens (human)
Lineage: Eukaryota; Metazoa; Chordata; Mammalia; Primates; Hominidae
Description: HSALNT0380980
Source: RNAcentral
AUCUUCAAGGCAAUUGUCUCAGGCAUCCUCCAGGCAUCAUGAAGGAGGCACGACAAGUGUUCAAAAGAGAACCAGGCCCAGCCCGGAGAAAGGAAAGCCAAAAGCCAACUGAAUGAAUGACCCUCCCCCAGAAGAGCAACCCUGCCCCCAGGCCAUCCAAGUGCGAACAUUACCAGGUGCCAGCAGGGAAAGGACUCCGCUGCCUGACGCCUCUCCCACCUGAGAGCGCAGAGGUAGGGAGAUCACAGUGCCUGAGAGGUUUUCCUCCACGGAGAAAUCAGAGACCUCAACCUGCUGCCCUCUAAAGCAGCUUUCUGUAUCCAGACAAAACUUACAUAUGUACACGUUGUUUUAAAACGACAUACUCAUGUGACACACAUGUAUAUAAAUUCAUGUUUAUAUAUGACAAUUGAGGAGAGUUAAAGAACAAGAUAAUUCUGGAUGGAAAAAUCAGUUUGCCUGGGCAUCUGUAAACCUUUGGGCAAGUGAAUUCCCUCUUCUCUCUCAGUUCACCCUUUGGUGACCUCCACCGUGGCUGCAGACUUCAGGUGGUCCUCACGCAUUCACAGAACUGUCUGCUUAG